Amphimedon queenslandica is the source of this 236-nucleotide long non-coding RNA. RefSeq lists it as uncharacterized. The transcript is spliced from 2 exons. Lineage: Eukaryota; Metazoa; Porifera; Demospongiae; Haplosclerida; Niphatidae. The record is from RefSeq and is a predicted model, not a curated record.
AGGUACUCUUUAUGUCCUCAUUAUGAGCAUGCUAUAAUUAUUGUCUUUGUUCAUUAUAUAGGAAUACUUUGCAUUUGAUGUGUUUCAGAGAUUUGAAUAAUUGCAAGAAUAUAAAAUGGAAUUCACUUGAAUUAUUAUACAGAAGAGAACACUACUCAUCUAACUAUACAUUCAUUUUUGCUUUAUUAUUUUCAAUUGUUUGUCAUUUUACCUACUGAAAAAUUGCUAUUACUUCA